Gopherus flavomarginatus (Mexican gopher tortoise) is the source of this 991-nucleotide non-coding RNA. NCBI's taxonomy places the organism in Eukaryota, Metazoa, Chordata, Testudines, Testudinidae. The record is from the annotation of a RefSeq genome assembly.
GACACCGAGUAAUCAAGAGGUUAGUUUGGAGCUGCAGCCAGCAUGUUGUGUCUACGAAUACAGCUCUGUAUUCUACUUUUGUUGUCAGGACUAAGUACCGAGAAGAACAGUGUCACCCGAAGACAAGGACAGCUGACUGGGGUACAAAGUGACUCUGUCACACUGGGCUGUACUUUCUCGACUGAAGAUGCAGGUUAUGACAUAUACUGGUACAAACAGGGCAGCAGCGGCCAGACGAAGUACCUCUUCCGAAGGGUCCUGUAUUCACCCAUCGUUGUGGUGACUUUCGCCCCUGAAGAUCUAGAAACAACAUAUUUAACCAUGAAGGCUCCAGAAAUCCUGUUUUGGACAGCAACAGCAUUUCUAUCUUUGAGUGCGGUGCUGGGUGAAUCGAUCCGGUCCAAUGAACCCGAGGUGUCCAGGUCAGAAGAAGACACCAUGACCCUCAGCUGUUCUUUUGAAACCAGCUACACUGCUGGUGUCUAUCUCUACUGGUACCGUCAGUAUCCGAACCGAGCCCCACAGUACAUCCUCCAGAGAGGAGCAAAAGGAAGCACGUUCAGUGAUACUGCAGAUUUCGCCCAGGAGAGGUUUUCUUCCCAGGCUGCUGACAGCUCCACAGUUCUGAACAUCACCUCCCUGGAGCUGUCAGACACAGGGGUGUAUCUCUGCGCCCUGCAGCGGGCACAGUGACAGAGCCACGCAGCAGAGCUGUACAAAAUCCCUCCCUUCUUUCCCAUUCACCUGCCCUGCACUGGGGAGAGACCAGAGACAGGCGUCCCCAAAGCCCCGCAGUCUCACUCAGUCACAGGUACAAAUGCAGCUCUGCUGUAGGUGACAGGCAAUUACAGACAGGGGCUGUCCCAGCCCCACAUCUUGCUAGCUGGCAGGAAAGCUUCGGGCUGAGGAAUACGGUUAAAUUAUUUCACCUAUAGAGACCUGGGCAAAUGACUAGAGGCGAGAUUUUAAAGGUAUUUAGGUGCUUAAACAU